RNAcentral lists this long non-coding RNA (239 nucleotides) under Phoenix dactylifera (date palm). RNAcentral describes it as "long non-coding RNA (PDAC_LNC000525)". The record is from RNAcentral. Lineage: Eukaryota; Viridiplantae; Streptophyta; Magnoliopsida; Arecales; Arecaceae.
UUCGGUUUGCUUUUCUCAAAUUCCCCCCAGCUUUUGCUCGUAUUCCCAUCGCAUCCUUAUCCCACCAUCCUAAACGGAAUUCUUCUCCCAACUCUUUUUAUUCCCACAGCCCCUUUCUUUUCUUUCCCCUACCUCUAAAGAGCACACACUGAGAGCAGUAGUCAGUCUCUCAGUGCUCCUCUACUCCUCUCCAUUCUUCCUUCUCUCUCUCUCUCUCUCUCUCUCUCUCUCUCUCUCUA